RNAcentral lists this ribosomal RNA (166 nucleotides) under uncultured bacterium. Its description in RNAcentral is "partial 16S ribosomal RNA". It matches the Rfam family "Bacterial small subunit ribosomal RNA", at positions 346 to 504 of the family's 1533-position model. The record is from RNAcentral.
AGGCAGCAGUGGGGAAUUUUGGACAAUGGGCGAAAGCCUGAUCCAGCAAUGCCGCGUGUGUGAAGAAGGCCUUCGGGUUGUAAAGCACUUUUGUUCGGGAAGAAAAGGUUUGUGUUAAUACCAUAAGCUGAUGACGGUACCGAAAGAAUAAGCACCGGCUAACUAC